GGGUUGUGAGGUUAAGCGACUAAGCGUACACGGUGGAUGCCCUGGCAGUCAGAGGCGAUGAAGGACGUGCUAAUCUGCGAAAAGCGUCGGUAAGGUGAUAUGAACCGUUAUAACCGGCGAUGUCCGAAUGGGGAAACCCAGUGCAAUUCGUUGCACUAUCGUUAACUGAAUACAUAGGUUAACGAGGCGAACCGGGGGAACUGAAACAUCUAAG
This 214-nucleotide ribosomal RNA is filed under the name Klebsiella pneumoniae. RNAcentral describes it as "partial 23S ribosomal RNA". It matches the Rfam family "Bacterial large subunit ribosomal RNA", at positions 1 to 206 of the family's 2925-position model. Lineage: Bacteria; Pseudomonadati; Pseudomonadota; Gammaproteobacteria; Enterobacterales; Enterobacteriaceae. The record is from RNAcentral.